This is a long non-coding RNA of Peromyscus eremicus (cactus mouse), 463 nucleotides long. RefSeq lists it as uncharacterized. The record is from RefSeq and is a predicted model, not a curated record. NCBI's taxonomy places the organism in Eukaryota, Metazoa, Chordata, Mammalia, Rodentia, Cricetidae. The transcript has 4 exons.
AGGAGUCAGCUUUUCACAUCGUGCCCAGUCAGGAAUAAGACAGGGGUGAAUUCUCAUAGUCACCUUCUUUUUCCUUUUAUUCAGCCUAUGGAGUGAUGCUGCUCACAGUUAAGUGAUUAAAUCAGAUAAACUUGUUUUGGGCUCAGCUCCAAGUUGAAGGCUGAUGGGUUUUAUGAAAGAUCACCAGAUGUGGAGAGCAAAGUUCAAAUAAAAGAAUGAUGGAGAGAUUGUGAAAAUGCCAUGUUUGGAGUGAUGAAGAAGCUCAUCCCCAAGUUUUUAUGCAGGUGGCCUGCUAUUUACAACUCCCCAUCCCUCCUCCUGCUUCCUGCUUGCCAAGCCCCCUCCAUCCCACAUCCCUUCCUCCAAAAGGUUGGACUCCUGGAGCUCAGCCUGGUGCUUGGUUGUGGAUCUCUGCAUCUGCUUUCAUCAGUUACUGGAUGAAGGCUCUACGGUGACAGUUAAG